RNAcentral lists this microRNA (23 nucleotides) under Homo sapiens (human). Its description in RNAcentral is "hsa-miR-6889-5p". Lineage: Eukaryota; Metazoa; Chordata; Mammalia; Primates; Hominidae. The record is from miRBase by way of RNAcentral.
UCGGGGAGUCUGGGGUCCGGAAU